AUUGAACGCUGGCGGCAGGCCUAACACAUGCAAGUCGAGCGGAUGAAGGGAGCUUGCUCCUGGAUUCAGCGGCGGACGGGUGAGUUAUGCCUAGGAAUCUGCCUGGUUGUGGGGGAUAACGUCCGGAAACGGGCGCUAAUACCGCAUACGUCACGAGGGAGAACGUGGGGGAUCUUGGGACCUCACGCUAUCAGAUGAGCCUAGGUCGGAUUAGCUAGUUGGUGGGGUAAAGGCCUACCAAGGCGACGAUCCGUAACUGGUCUGAGAGGAUGAUCAGUCACACUGGAACUGAGACACGGUCCAGACUCCUACGGGAGGCAGCAGUGGGGAAUAUUGGACAAUGGGCGAAAGCCUGAUCCAGCCAUGCCGCGUGUGUGAAGAAGGUCUUCGGAUUGUAAAGCACUUUUAGUUGGGAGGAAGGGCAGUAAGUUAAUACCUUGCGGUUUUGACGUUACCAACAGAAUAAGCACCGGCUAACUACGUG
RNAcentral lists this ribosomal RNA (484 nucleotides) under uncultured bacterium. Its description in RNAcentral is "partial 16S ribosomal RNA". It matches the Rfam family "Bacterial small subunit ribosomal RNA", at positions 30 to 507 of the family's 1533-position model. The record is from RNAcentral.